AUGAACGAAAGGCUUACUGCUGUAUACACGAAUGAAGAAGUUAAAGAGGCCUUUUUCAACAUCGGAGAUAUCAAGGCACCCGGGCCUGAUGGCAUGUCUGCUGUUUUCUACAAAAGAUUCUGGCGCCUAGUCGGUGAUAAAGUUACUGAAGAGGUUCUAAAUGUCCUUGAAGGAGGCCAAAUGCCUGAAGGAUGUAAUGACACCAUGGUCGUGUUAAUUCCUAAAAAUGCAAAUCCAGAAAGCCUAAAGGAUUUAAGACCCAUCAGCCUCUGCAACGUCAUCUACAAGGUGAUAUCCAAAGUAAUUGCUAAUAGACUGAAAUGUAUUUUGCCUCAUAUCAUUUCACCCAAUCAAAGUGCAUUUGUACCAGGUCAUAUUAUUUCAGAUAAUAUUCUUCUGGCCUAUGAACUAACACAUUUUUACAGAGGAAGAGAAGCGGUAGGAAGGGGUAUGCAGCAAUAA
RNAcentral lists this ribosomal RNA (462 nucleotides) under Triticum aestivum (bread wheat). RNAcentral describes it as "partial small subunit ribosomal RNA". Lineage: Eukaryota; Viridiplantae; Streptophyta; Magnoliopsida; Poales; Poaceae. The record is from RNAcentral.